Molecule: ribosomal RNA, 485 nt
Filed under: uncultured bacterium
Lineage: Bacteria
Description: bacterial SSU rRNA
Rfam family: Bacterial small subunit ribosomal RNA
Source: RNAcentral
GACGAACGCUGGCGGCGUGCCUAACACAUGCAAGUCGAACGGAGUCAAAAAGCUUGCUUUUUGACUUAGUGGCGGACGGGUGAGUAACGCGUGAGUAACCUGCCUCUGAGAGGGGAAUAACGUUCUGAAAAGAACGCUAAUACCGCAUAACGUAUCGAAGCCGCAUGACUUUGAUACCAAAGAUUUUAUCGCUCGGAGAUGGACUCGCGUCCGAUUAGUUAGUUGGUGAGGUAACGGCUCACCAAGACCGCGAUCGGUAGCCGGACUGAGAGGUUGAUCGGCCACAUUGGGACUGAGAUACGGCCCAGACUCCUACGGGAGGCAGCAGUGGGGGAUAUUGCGCAAUGGGGGCAACCCUGACGCAGCAACGCCGCGUGUGGGAAGAAGGUUUUCGGACUGUAAACCACUGUUCUUAGCGAAGAAAGCAAUGACGGUAGCAUAGGAGGAAGCCCCGGCUAACUACGUGCCAGCCGCCGCAGUAAAAC